GACGAACGCUGGCGGCGUGCUUAACACAUGCAAGUCGAACGGAAAGGCCCUGCUUUUGUGGGGUGCUCGAGUGGCGAACGGGUGAGUAACACGUGAGUAACCUGCCCUUGACUUUGGGAUAACUUCAGGAAACUGGGGCUAAUACCGGAUAGGAGCUCCUGCUGCAUGGUGGGGGUUGGAAAGUUUCGGCGGUUGGGGAUGGACUCGCGGCUUAUCAGCUUGUUGGUGGGGUAGUGGCGUACCAAGGCUUUGACGGGUAGCCGGCCUGAGAGGGUGACCGGCCACCUUGGGCCUGCGAUACGGCCCAGACUCCUACGGGAGGCAGCAGUGGGGAAUAUUGCACAAUGGGCGGAAGCCUGAUGCAGCAACGCCGCGUGCGGGAUGACGGCCUUCGGGUUGUAAACCGCUUUCGCCUGUGACGAAGCGUGAGUGACGGUAAUGGGUAAAGAAGCACCGGCUAACUACGUG
Molecule: ribosomal RNA, 468 nt
Filed under: uncultured bacterium
Lineage: Bacteria
Description: partial 16S ribosomal RNA
Rfam family: Bacterial small subunit ribosomal RNA
Source: RNAcentral